UAGGGAAUCUUCCACAAUGGACGCAAGUCUGAUGGAGCAACGCCGCGUGAGUGAAGAAGGUUUUUCGGACCGUAAAGCUCUGUUGUUGGUGAAGAAGGAUAGAGGUAGUAACUGGCCUUUAUUUGACGGUAAUCAACCAGAAAGUCACGGCUAACUACGUGCCAGCAGCCGCGGUAAUACGUAGGUGGCAAGCGUUGUCCGGAUUUAUUGGGCGUAAAGCGAGCGCAGGCGGAAGAAUAAGUCUGAUGUGAAAGCCCUCGGCUUAACCGAGGAAUUGCAUCGGAAACUGUUUUUCUUGAGUGCAGAAAGAGGAGAGUAGAACUCCAUGUGUAGCGGUGGAAUGCGUAGAUAUAUGGAAGAAUACCAGUGGCGAAGGCGGCUCUCUGGUCUGCAAACUGACGCUGAGGCUCGAAAAGCA
RNAcentral lists this ribosomal RNA (418 nucleotides) under uncultured bacterium. RNAcentral's name for it is "partial 16S ribosomal RNA". It matches the Rfam family "Bacterial small subunit ribosomal RNA", at positions 355 to 762 of the family's 1533-position model. The record is from RNAcentral.